Molecule: ribosomal RNA, 467 nt
Filed under: bacterium Fw70s-81
Lineage: Bacteria
Description: bacterial SSU rRNA
Rfam family: Bacterial small subunit ribosomal RNA
Source: RNAcentral
AUUGAACGCUGGCGGAAUGCUUUACACAUGCAAGUCGAACGGUAGAGGGGGCAACCCCUCGAGAGUGGCGAACGGGUGAGUAAUAUAUCGGAACGUGCCCAGUCGUGGGGGAUAACGUAGCGAAAGUUACGCUAAUACCGCAUACGAUCUACGGAUGAAAGCGGGGGAUCGCAAGACCUCGCGCGAUUGGAGCGGCCGAUAUCAGAUUAGGUAGUUGGUGAGGUAAAGGCUCACCAAGCCAACGAUCUGUAGCUGGUCUGAGAGGACGACCAGCCACACUGGAACUGAGACACGGUCCAGACUCCUACGGGAGGCAGCAGUGGGGAAUUUUGGACAAUGGACGCAAGUCUGAUCCAGCCAUUCCGCGUGCAGGAUGAAGGCCCUCGGGUUGUAAACUGCUUUUGUACGGAACGAAAAGGUCUCUCCUAAUACGGGGGGCUCAUGACGGUACCGUAAGAAUAAGCACG